This 253-nucleotide ribosomal RNA is filed under the name uncultured bacterium. Its description in RNAcentral is "partial 16S ribosomal RNA". It matches the Rfam family "Bacterial small subunit ribosomal RNA", at positions 524 to 776 of the family's 1533-position model. The record is from RNAcentral.
UACAGAGGUCCCAAGCGUUGUUCGGAAUUACUGGGCGUAAAGGGCGCGUAGGUGGCCUUCUAAGUUGAACGUGAAAUCCCUGGGCUCAACCCAGGAACUGCGUCCAAGACUGGGAGGCUUGAAUCCGGGAGAGGGAUGCGGAAUUCCAGGUGUAGCGGUGAAAUGCGUAGAUAUCUGGAGGAACACCGGUGGCGAAGGCGGCAUCCUGGACCGGUAUUGACACUGAGGCGCGAAAGCCAGGGGAGCAAACGGG